UGAGUGUAACAUAAGCGAAAUGUAUCUCACUUACACUGAGAAGAUACUUGUAUUUCAAGUCACUUUAA
This 68-nucleotide transfer RNA is filed under the name Thiara amarula. RNAcentral describes it as "tRNA-Val". Lineage: Eukaryota; Metazoa; Mollusca; Gastropoda; Thiaridae. The record is from RNAcentral.